Molecule: long non-coding RNA, 2352 nt
Organism: Triticum dicoccoides
Lineage: Eukaryota; Viridiplantae; Streptophyta; Magnoliopsida; Poales; Poaceae
Exons: 4
Source: RefSeq, a predicted model, not a curated record
CACUGCGUGCGGUCAGAGAGAGAGCCGGGAGGAAUAAGCGAAGGAAGAGGUGGCGGGAUCCUGCGGGGCUGGAUUGGAGCACCGGUGGUGCUACUGCUGCCGUUGGACGCCGGCUGAAGGGACAAGUCCCUAGGUAAGGAAACAUCAUGUGUUGCAUCGGCACAUUUGAUGCAGAGUAGCUACUGUAAGUUCCUCUCCCUUCUCUAAUAAGCAUUGCGACCUCUCCCUUCUCUAAUUGGUAUUGAGAUUCAAUUGCUAUUCGAUGGAGAGCAGCCACAAAAAGUUCCUCAAUUGAUGCACAGCGGCCACCGAAAACAGAUCUUGCUUUCAAUCUCUAAUUGAUUCUCAGCUACAGAGUGGCAUGUAUCUAUAGACUUGCUAAUGUGAUGGCUAAUGCAUGUGUAUUAAUUCAUGAAUUAGCAAAAUAUUUCCCGUGAGAUGUGCUAAUAUACAAAUUUGAUGUUCACAGUGCCCUCCACUUUUUUUUGUUAUGCCUAUAAGAGAUGACUUUUUUUCAAUUUUUAAAUAGAAAAGCACAGUAUGGUUGCUCUUAUAUACAGCUUAUAAAAAGGAAUUGCAAAAUAAGAAGAGUGAUCUGUUCUACUCAAAACAAAAUUGCUGAAAUUCACAUGCAUGGUGGCGCCAUACAGCGAGCGCAUGGUGGCAGAGUUCACAAGCUAGAUCUUUGACUGGCGUUAUGGCUUGUCUUGAUGCAGAGAAGGACGGGGUUCAAGUUGUUGGGCCGGUGGCAGGGGCAGCAUGAUGUUUUCGUCAGGUAACAACCUAGGCAUCGACUCAAGAUUUAACUGAACCAAUUCCUUUAAUUCAGGCUCCAAAUCGUUGUUAUUUGAUUCACCAAUUGGUUGCUGGCAACAACUAAUUGGACAUAUAAUUGUUGAUUUCUAUACAAACAAUAUCUUCAGUUGUUUUCAGAUCUUCAAUAAGGAUCAUCAAGCCCUCUGUUUUUUAUAUGAAGAAUAGAUAUUGUAAUUGUGCCUCCAUUACGUCUAAAAGUCAGGUAUCGGAAAACUGUCAUUGGCAUAUCUCUGUCAUGAUGGAAGAUUGGUUAGACAGAAAAAGGACCUCUGGUUAUGUAUGACAUGAUGCGAGGCACAUAUCUCUGAAUGAAGCGCAACAAGAAUUGACAUCCUCUAAUGCUAACUGUUGACCAUUCUUCUCUGAAGUAUCAGAGGUGUGGAUUGGAAUCAGUUUUUUUGCUGCACCCCCAUUCCGACAAGGUCACGCACACAUACCACCGGGAAUCCCACGAACCCUAUGUUCGAGCGCGAGCGACGGCAAUAGCAUCUGCAAGUACUUGACCAACACGCUACCCAGGUGUGGUAUCCACUAUUGAGGCCAAGCAACCUAGCUCGGUCAUCCUUAAGUGUGCUUGUGUCCACCACCUGAUGAAGAACGGGAGAAGAUUGCUGACUUUGUGCCUAAUGAUGGUUGCCUGAACUUCGUAGAGCAAAUUGACGAGGUGUUGAUUGCUGAAUUUGGUCUUAAGAGGCACGUCGUGGGAGAUAUCCCUUGUGGCAGGUUCAAAGUUGUGAUGGUAUCUGGUGUCUCCCAGCGAGAUUUGUUCCUUCUCUUAACAGUUACUAUUAAGAACAAAUUUAUGUUUCCAGCAAAAAAGUUGGCCGGCCCCAGCAAAAAAAAAAGAACAGUUCCAGCAAAAAAAGAUCGCCGUCGUGGUCACAGGUGUCAACAAGCAGUCUUCGGAAUCAUCAAUAAGCCAACAGCGAGAAAUAAGUUUAAGAAUUGAGUUCCCUUAACAGGGAAAUAAGGAAGGGAAGAAACAAAUAGGGAACAAUCAGAUGAAGCAUCAAGGAAAAUGGAUUGAACAAUCAGAUGAAGCAUCCAGCUCGAGGAGAAGCAUGGUCUGCAAGGAGACCAAUCAUCUUGAGGUGGUUCUUUCAGCUACUGCAUGUUCCAUUACGGAGAAGGGUACUUAGUCGAUCUUAGGAGCCAGACUCUGCUCUCCUUGCAGGGAGAAUUUCAACAAAUGGUACUAUUACUCUCCCAACAAUUCUUUUAUCACUACAAAAUGUGUAGGAACCUUAUUUUUCCCUGAGAUACUGUAAUUGAGGAACCGAGAGCCGCGACGGAACAUUGUAUUUUGCACUACAUCCUGUAUUUGCUUUGUGGGAAGCUGGCUUGAGGACAAAUAUGUCAGCUCCAUUUUCGUUGUGAGUGAUUCUUCAUAUGACGGUAGUGUUGCUUGUGUUCAUAAUCAGUCUCUAUGUAAUGUUUCGGCAGAGAGAGUUGUAACGCCUCAGUCUUCUUGCCGAGUUGCAGAAUGCUGUUGUUCACUCUGCAAUAGGAUGGAUGAACAUGGUUUUCUUUAUUUUA